Molecule: long non-coding RNA, 1962 nt
Organism: Triticum aestivum (bread wheat)
Lineage: Eukaryota; Viridiplantae; Streptophyta; Magnoliopsida; Poales; Poaceae
Exons: 5
Source: RefSeq, a predicted model, not a curated record
CAAAUUACAAAACGUAUUCCCCAGUUUAGGAAUACUUUGUGGAUGUGUAAAUAAUUUUUUCUACUUAAAGAACAUUUUGUACAAUUCCUGAACAUUUCCUUAAUUCAUGGACAUUUUCUAAUUCAAUAUAUGUUUUUCAAAUUCACUAAAACAUUUUAAAUAUGUGAAUUUUUUUAAAGUAAUGAAGAAUUUUCAAUUAAUAAACGUUUUUCGAACUCUCAAAAAAAUUCACAUUCAAGAACAUUUUUUGCAGAUUCGUAAACUUUUUUAAAUUUGUUUUCAAUUCACGAAUUUUUUUAAAUUUGUUAACAUUUUUUAAAACUUGUGAAAUUUGGAGUACAAUUGUUAUUAUUGUGAAAAUAUUUUCGUAUUCAUCAAAAUUUUCAAAUUAAAAUAAAAAAGGAGAAAAAAAUCUAAAGUGUGAAACAAAAACACACAAAGUGAGUAUGCUUGGCAGGCCCUUGUAGGAACGGUUCAAGCAUAAUUGCAGGCGAUGUGUUGUGGUAUUGCUCGCUAGGAGCGAUACAUAGUAGUUCCCGGCCUGCUUGGCUCACCCCCGGACGAAGGCCCAAGGUUACAGUACGCAGUAAGAAGCUGGCCCACGUGUUCAAGGCCUAAGAGAUCUUGGUUUGUAAUACGAUGUGCAUUGCUAAUUUCUCUAAAAAAAGUGCUCUUUUGUGCGCAUGCCAUGGGAAAAAUAACCUGGUGCACAAUUAAUUGCUGAUCCUCACCCUGUCCUCCUUUUUUGCACAUAGCACAUGAUUUUUGCGAGCGCAAAUAUUGUAUAAAAAUGUGAUUUAGAAAGACGCAGAUCUUUUUUAAUAAACGAGUAUUUUCUUUGAAGAGCCAACCAACAUGCCAUUCUCUCAAGUCUCUCCGUACUUCACACCAUCAUUCACUAAAUAAAAGAAGCCAUCACACCUUUGAUACGUUGGGUGAGCUAGUACUGAAAAAUAUAUGGUGGCCUUCAGAACACUGUCCCUUGGUUGGUGAGUGACUGACUGCAUCUCUUCGUCUUGCUCCUGCGUUCAAGAGAGCUCCAAGCUCUCUAGUACCACGUCGUCUCGUCAAUUUGUGCAUCGUGAAAGGUUAUAUAUGGAUGACAUUGUUGAUGCAUUGGUUCUCAAGCUUCACUCAAAGAUAUGUUAUCAUAGGGAUGCCAGUGUCGACUACCUGGAAAUAAAGACCACGGUUGAUAAACUCGUAGAAGCGAACAAAAAACUCAAGGAUGAGAAAGUGGACUUCCAGGAUGUCAUUAAUAUGGUCACAGAAGAAAAGGAGAAUUUGCAGCAUGACUGUCAAGUAAUCAAGGAGCGGGUGGCAAAAAAGGAGGAGCAACUUGAAACUGUAAAAAGGGAACUUGAAGAAGCAAAACAUGAACAUGUGGCAGCAAAGAAGGAGCUUGAGGAAGAAAAACUUGGCCAUGUGGCAACAAAGAAGGAGCUUGCGGCGGCACAACAACAACUUGCUCAAAGGAACGAAGAGCUGGAGAUUUUAAGGAAGAAGCUUCAAGAGAGUGAACAUGUACCUUCCAAAAGGGUAACAAGAUCUGCACAUAAACGGGAAAUGCUACUCAAAGGAUCGCUGAGCAAUGAUGUGGAUGGACAUCGCCCAAAGAAACAUAGGUCCUAUUAGCAUGCAAGCCAUACACUCUAAUACAGGUCGAGGUGGAACAGUGUGUCCUAGCUGUUGCAAGUGAGGAAGGAAGCCAUCAUCGUAGCAGGCCAUGACUAACACUAGCAACUAGCAAGCAUGCAAGAAAGUUACUAUGUUAGCUACCUAUGACGCUGGUGUUGAAUAGUGUUAUAAUCGCCAUUUCAUGUAUAUUUUAGAAUUUAUUUCAGAACCUUGGUGUGUAAAACAUUUGGCACUUUGAUUCGCGCUUCUACUAUAGUAACUGAUGUAUAAAUAUUAUAUGACUUAAUUUUAUGAAACCUUCAUUUAACGGUCCUUAAUCGAUUA